This is a non-coding RNA of Schistosoma mattheei, 45 nucleotides long. Lineage: Eukaryota; Metazoa; Platyhelminthes; Trematoda; Strigeidida; Schistosomatidae. The record is from Rfam.
AUCCAGCUGACGGGUCCCAAAUAGGACAAAACUGAAGUCCUGGAU